GGAUUUGUCGGUUGAGCUUAACUGUCCGUAUUGACUUUAUGGAUUCUUACCUUCUGAAUAACCAGCAUGCUAUUAAGUUAAUGUGUUGGGGAAGCAGAUCUAUUACCUUGAAAAAAUUAGAGUGUUUAAAGCAGGCUCACGCUUGAAUACAUUAGCAUGGAAUAAUGAAAUAGGACGUUUGAUUCUAUUUUGUUGGUUUCUAGGAUCGACGUA
Molecule: ribosomal RNA, 213 nt
Filed under: Campeiostachys nutans
Lineage: Eukaryota; Viridiplantae; Streptophyta; Magnoliopsida; Poales; Poaceae
Description: Elymus nutans partial small subunit ribosomal RNA
Rfam family: Eukaryotic small subunit ribosomal RNA (bases 29-213)
Source: RNAcentral